UGAAACGAGAACGAUAUUAACCAUUGGAUCUCGGUGUCUUUACAAUUCAACGAACACUGCAUUCUGCGACUGUCUAGUAAGAAGAUGUCGAAGUUUUUACUAUCUGCUUUCUCCUGUUUGGACUUCGCUACGGGAGUAAUUAGCAUCAUUGUUCAGUCGGUAAUCAUAGCCAAUCACGAUGACUGUGCUUACUCGAAGAUGGGAGUCGGCAUCUGGAAUGGACUAUUACUCAUAAUGACCGGCAUAUCACUUCUGGUGACCGCUACUCGUCCAAAGGGGAAAACCGGAGACUGGACGCUUGUUGUUUGCGCUAUGACUCUGAUGGCCUCACUGGUGCAGGUCGGAGUCGCUUCUGGAGUUAUUUACCAAUUAUACGGCUUGCAGUAUUUUGAACACGGGCCAUUUACCAAGCCGUUGAAUGGCAUUCUGGACAUAUUCAAACCCGACAACAUACCCGAUCAGAAACAGGUGUUAACGUCCGAUUUCCCCGACUCAGUUCUCGGAUUUGUCAACAAGGUUGGCGGGAACUUGGUUUCAAAUACUGCCAGGUAUGGUACAGUACGAGCAUGCUACGGCCUCUUCUCAAUCGACGACUAUUACGGUUCCCAACGGAAGACGUUGGAGGUUGUAUUGCUGGGCUGCGGUCUUAUCGCAAUCGUGGUUAAAAUAGCCUCAUUCCUAUCAUUACGGGUCAAACGACUUGCCGUAUCUGCCUCGAUCCAGUACACACAACAAACCGCGACGCAUUAAAAUUCAUCGUUAUGUAAAAUUUCCGAAAAUGUCUUACUUUUCUUACGCCAACCUUGAGAAACUUAUCGUUUCAAGUCAACAGAAAGUUUCAAUUUCUUUUUUUGUUCAAAUAAAUGACACCAUUUCUUUUUUGUUCCUACAAUGUAACGAAUUAAUAUACAGCAAAAUGUCUAUCAUUUCAUACAUUUUUCAAAACGAAAUCAAUAGCUAUCUUAAUGUAAAUGUCGUCAUAGUUCAAAUUUCUAUACGCUGCUCGAUCGAUACGAGCCGAAUAGCCAGGCUGGUCAAGUCAAGUCACAAUUGUACGGCUUCUUGUCCUGACGACGCCACCACCAGGCAGGGUGGAAAAAGAAACAAACACACAUGAUGUCGCAAGUCAUGGGAGCACUGAUGAGGGAAAAGGGGGGAAAGUCACAGUCCGAGCGUAAUCUUCUUCUCCUAUCGCCGCGUCACCGGUCAGUAUACACACCAAACAGUGCAGGGCAAGUGAUAUAGACUGAAACUUAAGAUCAGAGCCGUUGGAUGCCUUUAGUCUGGUUUUGUGUAUCAACACCACAGGAUAUUCUCAAACAGUUUUUCGUUCGUUAUGAGCAGUGAAUGAACGAUUGUCGUGAGCGUGACCAGCAGACAUCAAGUGCCAAGUGAAAAACAUCCAUUUUCUUUCCCCGACGUCAAACGUGAAUUCUCAAGGUCUGCGUGACUGGCGAAUGGAAACGCCACUGACGGUCGAAAAUGGAGCCGCUGCCGCGGGAAAUUCAAAUCUUCUGCCCUUUGAUUCAAACAGGUCGGAUGGCACGGCCAGCAGUUCAUCGCACAUCACUGUCUUCCCCGUUCAGACACUGCGACGUCUUCUACUCAUUUCGGUUUCAGUCGUAUUGAGUGAAAUUAUCCAGUUCAUUUGCCAAGUUUGUCUAAUCAUGCAAUCGAGACGGCUGUCAGUUUCAGCCAUCAGCGCUGUUCUCGUCAUUUGGACUUUGCUUGCUUUAACCCUGACUGCCCAAUGGGUCAUCUUGUUGAGCAGUAACCGAGUGGCAAUAGUAAAAAGAGGGAAAAUGCUGAUUUGCGGAUGUCAAGGACUUGCUGUCCUCAGCUUAUUAGCUUCGAUCGCCCUUCUCUCCGUCCAAUACGAAGUGAACAAAUGGAAAGAGGAUAAUAUCAAAAUACUUGUUGGCGUAAUAGUCGGUACCAACUGUUUAAAUAUCCUUACACUCUGCCUCAUUUUUGUGUUCAUCGUACGAGGCCAAAAAAAUGUCCAUCAGGUCAUAGGAUCUUGGCUUUGGUUAGCCAUUCAGCAACACAUCCAGCGACAGCAGUUGUUGUUAGAGGAAGGCGGAGACAUUUCAUUAAAAGAACAUUUGCAAGCAGCCUACGACGCAGAGGAACUCAACUUUUCAGCAGAAGCGGCUUGAUCCUCAAAAUUCCUCCCCAUUUUUUGUAAUUUAAUCAAUUGAUUGCAUCGCAGAGAAAUUGUUAACAAGUCAAACAUAUAAUUGUAAAUAAUACACCGAGAAUAUACCUGUGGAAUGUCAAAUGUUACCUAUCUCAAGCCCAAAUCCGAAAACAGUCCCACACUGAUCUAGCUCUAUCCUGUAUAGGCCUGCAUGUUGUAAAAGUUCCACUCUAUUCAGAUACGAGCUCUGACGCCUAUGUACAGUAUGUGGCAUGUUAUCGAACGUGGGAGAUCUUAUCACACAGUCAAAACCGAUGUGUUGGGUUAUGGGCUAAAUUCAUUACAGGUACCGAGUUAUUCAUGACUGGCCAGGUGAGUUGACUCAUGCCAUCGUCACCGUCCAAGCCAAAAUGUGGGAGAGUUCCGACUGGAUGCUAAUUCAGUCCCAACGUCGAGUUUUACCGGGCACCUCGGUAAAACUUGGAUUGGGACUAACCGCUUUGAACGCCGUUCUCUGGCUGGUCGCCAUGAUUUUACAGGCCUUCCUGCUUAAUAAUAUCGAUUACUACAUUGCGCCGUCGUCCUACAUACUCGUCGGUAUCUGCCUGGGCUGGUCCACCACGAUUUUGUUUAUUACGGCUGGCUCGUUAUACGGUUUAAUACGCAAUACAGAAAAUGACGUGAAAUCCUACCUGACAUUGACGACUAGCACGGCGGUUUUCUCGCUCUUUAUCUUCCUCUCCUUCUUAAUCACGCUAUGUCUCGAUACAGCAACCGAAUCCUGGCUAACACCGGGUGGUUUCUCAAUUUUCACCGGCCUCUACGUUUUUGGCGAGAGUUGCAUUAUUGUUUGGUAUUUCUCUAGUCAGUGGAGAGCUUUCAAAAAAGAAAUGGAAGAAGAGCGAACGGAUCGGAUCCAACAACGAGUGCGAGAACAACAACAACAUCACUUGGCCGUUUUGACGAAUUCCGUCCAGCAGGCGCCACCUAACGAAUAUCAGGUGGAACAGGUGAUGGAGACAUUCGAGAGCGAGGAGGUGGAGCGAAAGAGAAACGAAGUUGAAGAAACAAGCGAUUCAGGCAGCGACCGCUUGUCUUAUUAUCCGCCCGUGUUUGUUUGAAAGUAUUGCCCAAUACAAAAACUUUUUUUUUUCUUCAAUCCGCUUAUCGUCUUAUCAGUGAGCUCAUCAUGUCACCUGCAUUAUCUUGAUUGAAAAAUCUAAAGCGAAAAAAACCCUUAGAACCAGCAACCAAAGGAAAAGCGACAAAAAGUCACGGACUAAAGUCAACCGGAUAGGAGUUGGAACACUGUCAAACUCGCUUCGGGAUGAGUUAGCAGUGCGUCGUGAUUGUAACCUGCCCGAUUCAGGAGCAGGUUGUCAUCAGAGAAAUGACUGCCGAUCUCCAUCAAUCCACUAUUCAGCAAAGCAGAGAUUCAGCUCGUCUGGUUGUCUUUCGACCGCGACACAAAGUUAUGGUCAGUGUCUUUUCCUAUUCACUCAUCUUCCUGUUCAUCCUAGGCGUCGGAUUUCAGGUAAAAUAAUUUCACGGUGAUUUUUUAUCGUCCCGUCAUCUGAUUGCAUAAGUUACCACACCCACAUACAAAACAGGUCUGCGCAAUUUUAGUGAAUGCGAACUACAGCCAAACCGGAGCCGGGAUAUGGUGCGGUAUCCUUUACGUCGCUACAGGCGUCAUGGGUCUGCUAGCCGUCCGUAGAGAGGAUAAGCCCAUGUAAGGACAAUUGCAUUGCUAUGCAUGGCUGUCGGGUCCGUUUUCACUUCCAUCGCUCUCAUACUGUUAGCAUUACUUUCUCUCACUAGUACUACAUAUCAAGGAGCAUUUCCUUCGUUAUGCACUGCAUCAAAUAUUAUUCUAACUGUGGUGGGAUUCAUUGGAUUUUUCAUCUCAAUCGUCCUAUUGACAAUUGCUGCCAUCACUUCGUCAUCUAGUAAACGGUCCCAGAGCGCUUCCACCGAAAUGGGAGUAGUCAAGCAGGAUAUCAAAGAGGAUUUCAAGCAGGAUUCGAUAGAUACUAUUAGUUUGCAUCAAGAGUCCAUCGCUCCAUCCGAAGUGGAGGCAACUAUUUCUCCUCCAGCAGCUGCUGAAUCCAACGGUUCAACUGGCUCGGACGGUAUCUAUGAGUCGUUAAAAUCCCAACAGGGCAGUGUGGCUGAAAGUGCCAUUUUAGACUCGUCUACGAUCAUAGCUCAGAUUAUGGAACCUAUCUACGCCAUUCCGAUGAAGAAGAAAACGAAUUCCAGCACGACACUGGCAUCCGCUGGCGAUUUCGACAUAGAAGUCGAUAAUCGCCGCGAUAGCGAAGUCAGCGAAAACAAAGUGGCCCCAACUAAGUGGUUCCAUAGGGAAGCAGCGGACGAGCCUGUAAGUUCAGACGUCGAUGAUGACCAACAUUCAAGAAAUAUUGAACUGCCCAAAGAGGACGUUGUUGUUCACGCUCCGCCAAACUGAUACUCGCACCAAAGAAUUUCGAAAAGCAAUAUUGUUAACCCUCCGGUGAAUUGUUAAUAAUAGACCAACUAAUUAUUUUUGAAAUAAGAACGAUUGAGAAAUAGAAUAAAUAAAUAAA
Molecule: unclassified non-coding RNA, 4728 nt
Filed under: Daphnia pulex (common water flea)
Lineage: Eukaryota; Metazoa; Arthropoda; Branchiopoda; Diplostraca; Daphniidae
Description: uncharacterized LOC124194450, transcript variant X3
Source: RNAcentral